This 253-nucleotide ribosomal RNA is filed under the name uncultured bacterium. Its description in RNAcentral is "partial 16S ribosomal RNA". It matches the Rfam family "Bacterial small subunit ribosomal RNA", at positions 524 to 776 of the family's 1533-position model. The record is from RNAcentral.
UACGAGGGGGGCAAGCGUUGUUCGGAAUUAUUGGGCGUAAAGGGCGCGUAGGCGGUGCGGUAAGUCACCUGUGAAAUCUCUGGGCUCAACUCAGAGUCUGCAGGCGAAACUGCCGUGCUGGAGUAUGGGAGAGGUGCGUGGAAUUCCCGGUGUAGAGGUGAAAUUCGUAGAUAUCGGGAGGAACACCAGUGGCGAAGGCGGCGAUCUGGGAAGAUACUGACGCUGAGGCGCGAAAGCGUGGGGAGCAAACAGG